CACUCCUGCGGGAGGCAGCAGUGGGGAAUUUUGGACAAUGGGCGAAAGCCUGAUCCAGCAAUGCCGCGUGAGUGAAGAAGGCCUUCGGGUUGUAAAGCUCUUUUGUCAGGGAAGAAACGGUGAAAGCUAAUAUCUUUUGCUAAUGACGGUACCUGAAGAAUAAGCACCGGCUAACUACGUGCCAGCAGCCGCGGUAAUACGUAGGGUGCAAGCGUUAAUCGGAAUUACUGGGCGUAAAGCGUGCGCAGGCGGUUUUGUAAGUCUGAUGUGAAAUCCCCGGGCUCAACCUGGGAAUUGCAUUGGAGACUGCAAGGCUAGAAUCUGGCAGAGGGGGGUAGAAUUCCACGUGUAGCAGUGAAAUGCGUAGAUAUGUGGAGGAACACCGAUGGCGAAGGCAGCCCCCUGGGUCAAGAUUGACGCUCAUGCACGAAAGCGUGGGGAGCAAACAGGAUUAGAAACCCCAGUAGUCCCAU
This 473-nucleotide ribosomal RNA is filed under the name uncultured organism. Its description in RNAcentral is "partial 16S ribosomal RNA". It matches the Rfam family "Bacterial small subunit ribosomal RNA", at positions 334 to 798 of the family's 1533-position model. The record is from RNAcentral.